CGAGUGGCGGGAGGGUGAGUAAUGUCUGGGAAACGUGCCUGAUGAGGGGGAUAACUACUGGAAACGGUAGCUAAUACCGCAUAACGUCGCAAGACCAAAGGGGGGACCUUAGGGCCUCUUGCCAUCGGAUGUGCCCAGAUGGGAUUAGCUAGUAGGUGGGGUAACGGCUCACCUAGGCGACGAUCCCUAGCUGGUCUGAGAGGACGACCAGCCACACUGGAACUGAGACACGGUCCAG
RNAcentral lists this ribosomal RNA (238 nucleotides) under uncultured bacterium. RNAcentral describes it as "partial 16S ribosomal RNA". It matches the Rfam family "Bacterial small subunit ribosomal RNA", at positions 92 to 334 of the family's 1533-position model. The record is from RNAcentral.